GACGAACGCUGGCGGCGUGCUUAACACAUGCAAGUCGAACGGAAAGGCCCUGCUUGCAGGGUACUCGAGUGGCGAACGGGUGAGUAACACGUGGGUGAUCUGCCCUGCACUUCGGGAUAAGCCCGGGAAACUGGGUGUAAUACCGGAUAGGAGCCAUUUUGAGUGGGAUGGUUGGAAAGUUUUUUCGGUGUAGGAUGAGCUCGCGGCCUAUCAGCUUGUUGGUGGGGUAAUGGCCUACCAAGGCGGCGACGGGUAGCCGGCCUGGGUGGGUGGACGGCCACAUUGGGACUGAGAUACGGCCCAGACUCCUACGGGAGGCAGCAGUGGGGAAUAUUGCACAAUGGGCGCAAGCCUGAUGCAGCGACGCCGCGUGGGGGAUGACGGCCUUCGGGUUGUAAACUCCUUUCGCUAGGGACGAAGCUUUUUGUGACGGUACCUAGAUAAGAAGCACCGGCUAACUACGUG
This 465-nucleotide ribosomal RNA is filed under the name uncultured bacterium. RNAcentral's name for it is "partial 16S ribosomal RNA". It matches the Rfam family "Bacterial small subunit ribosomal RNA", at positions 28 to 507 of the family's 1533-position model. The record is from RNAcentral.